RNAcentral lists this transfer RNA (73 nucleotides) under Ictidomys tridecemlineatus (thirteen-lined ground squirrel). RNAcentral's name for it is "Spermophilus tridecemlineatus (thirteen-lined ground squirrel) tRNA". It matches the Rfam family "tRNA". From Rfam's summary of the family: Transfer RNA (tRNA) molecules are approximately 80 nucleotides in length. Their secondary structure includes four short double-helical elements and three loops (D, anti-codon, and T loops). Lineage: Eukaryota; Metazoa; Chordata; Mammalia; Rodentia; Sciuridae. The record is from Rfam by way of RNAcentral.
GGGGUUAUAGCUCAGUUGGUAGAGUACCUGCCUUGCAUGCACAAGGUCCUGGGUUCAAUCCUCAGCACCACCA